GACGAACGCUGGCGGCGUGCCUAAUACAUGCAAGUAGAACGCUGAAGCGAGGAGCUUGCUCUUCUUGGAUGAGUUGCGAACGGGUGAGUAACGCGUAGGUAACCUGCCUUGUAGCGGGGGAUAACUAUUGGAAACGAUAGCUAAUACCGCAUAACAAUAGGUGACACAUGUCAUUUAUUUGAAAGGGGCAAUUGCUCCACUACAAGAUGGACCUGCGUUGUAUUAGCUAGUAGGUGAGGUAACGGCUCACCUAGGCGACGAUACAUAGCCGACCUGAGAGGGUGAUCGGCCACACUGGGACUGAGACACGGCCCAGACUCCUACGGGAGGCAGCAGGAGGGAAUCUUCGGCAAUGGGGGCAACCCUGACCGAGCAACGCCGCGGGAGUGAAGAAGGUUUUCGGAUCGUAAAGCUCUGUUGUAAGUCAAGAACGAGUGUGAGAGUGGAAAGUUCACACUGUGACGGUAGCUGACCAGAAAGGGACGGCUAACUACGUG
Molecule: ribosomal RNA, 497 nt
Filed under: uncultured bacterium
Lineage: Bacteria
Description: partial 16S ribosomal RNA
Rfam family: Bacterial small subunit ribosomal RNA
Source: RNAcentral